GAUGAACGCUGGCUACAGGCUUAACACAUGCAAGUCGAGGGGAAACGACGGGGAAGCUUGCUUCCCCGGGCGUCGACCGGCGCACGGGUGAGUAACGCGUAUCCAACCUGCCUCUGACUGAGGGAUAACCCGUCGAAAGUCGGCCUAAUACCUCAUGGUAUCGUCUGCGGGCAUCCAACGACGAUUAAAGAUUUCAUCGGUCAGGGAUGGGGAUGCGUCUGAUUAGCUUGUUGGCGGGGUAACGGCCCACCAAGGCUACGAUCAGUAGGGGUUCUGAGAGGAAGGUCCCCCACAUUGGAACUGAGACACGGUCCAAACUCCUACGGGAGGCAGCAGUGAGGAAUAUUGGUCAAUGGGCGAGAGCCUGAACCAGCCAAGUAGCGUGCAGGAAGGCGGCCCUAUGGGUUGUAAACUGCUUUUAUGCGGGGAUAAAGUGAGGGACGUGUCCCUCAUUGCAGGUACCGCAUGAAUGAGGACCGGCUAAUUCCGUGCCAGCAGCCGCGGUAAUACGGAAGGUCCUGGCGUUAUCCGGAUUUAUUGGGUUUAAAGGGAGCGUAGGCCGUGGAUUAAGCGUGUUGUGAAAUGCAGGUGCUCAACGUCUGCACUGCAGCGCGAACUGGUCCACUUGAGUGUGCGCAACGCAGGCGGAAUUCGUCGUGUAGCGGUGAAAUGCUUAGAUAUGACGAAAACUUCCGAUUGCGAAGGCAGCUUGCGGGAGCACAACUGACGCUAAACUCGAAAUGCGGGAUCGAACAUGAAUAGAUACCUGGUGUCCAAGGUAAAUUCAAAAUGGAUCUCAAGCUUAUGAUCCGUCGACGGUUGGGCGUGUGUUUUUUCCCUAUUUUGCCCCCGCAAAGAGGUUAAUUAGU
RNAcentral lists this ribosomal RNA (869 nucleotides) under uncultured Prevotella sp. RNAcentral describes it as "bacterial SSU rRNA". It matches the Rfam family "Bacterial small subunit ribosomal RNA", at positions 28 to 873 of the family's 1533-position model. The record is from RNAcentral. Lineage: Bacteria; Pseudomonadati; Bacteroidota; Bacteroidia; Bacteroidales; Prevotellaceae.